This 119-nucleotide ribosomal RNA is filed under the name Pteropus alecto (black flying fox). The record is from RNAcentral. Lineage: Eukaryota; Metazoa; Chordata; Mammalia; Chiroptera; Pteropodidae.
GUCUAUGGCCAUGCCACCCUGAACACGCCCAAUCUCGUCUGAUCUUGGAAGCUAAGCAGGGUCAGGCCUGGUUAGUACUUGGAUAGGAGACCACCUAAAAAUACCAGGUGCUAUAGGCU